GUUGGCCUGGUGGUUAAAGCGUCCGCCUCAACUGCGGGAGGUUGUGGGUUCGAUCCCCGGUCAAGUCA
Potamilus streckersoni is the source of this 68-nucleotide non-coding RNA. NCBI's taxonomy places the organism in Eukaryota, Metazoa, Mollusca, Bivalvia, Unionida, Unionidae. The record is from the annotation of a GenBank genome assembly.